GCCAGAGAAUUGCGUGACAAUUACCUUGGUCCUUGCAGCAAGUCCGAUGAACGAAAGCUAGCGAGCUAACCCACUAUGUAGCUAACUAGCCCGCUGCGUUGCUAAGUAACCAACUAGCUUAGAAAGAGGAAGGCCUUUAGCUCUCCGUUGGACGGAAGCCGGAUAGGACUUGAGCUUUCCGUUGGACGGAAGCCGUUUAUAUGAACCUCCUCUGAGGUAUUUUAGUUCUCUCGUGGCAGCAUGGCAGCACAGAUGAAUCCCGGCUGUCUUCUCCAAGCUAAACCUCAUGGCAGCAAAUGUGACCCGAGCGGGGCAGUUUGUCUAAAAGAAGGCUAACCGGUCACCAAAGAGAAAUCAAGCAAUGAGCUGAGACCGUGAGCUGGACGUUGCAGAUCGAAGACCCUCGAGCUGCCUGACUUUAAUCUCAGUGAUGAGUCCUGAGGUUAAAGUUCACAGCCUCGCCAGGUGCGAGAACUGGGACGAACGGGCAGAGUAAAAGCUUCAGAGCUGGCUGGCCAAGGUUUUAAAGCCCUAAGUGUGGUGUUCCUGUUGACCAGGACCUCGCUUGGUUUGGGCACUGGCCGACUCGGCAAACUGGGGGCAAAGUAAGUCGUCGAGAUCCUGCUGAUGACUGACCUACAGAUGUGGGUUAUUUUAAAGGCGUCUUAUUCACGUCAUCGCUGGACAGAAAGCUGCUUUCCUCAAGCUAACAGAACCGACGUGAAUGAAGAAACUGCAGUUUUUAAGUUAUAAUGGAAAUAUUGCAUCAGAAUGUAAAGUUGUGUCUGAAUAAACCAGCUGAAAACUG
Scatophagus argus is the source of this 808-nucleotide long non-coding RNA. RefSeq lists it as uncharacterized. NCBI's taxonomy places the organism in Eukaryota, Metazoa, Chordata, Actinopteri, Scatophagidae. The transcript is spliced from 5 exons. The record is from RefSeq and is a predicted model, not a curated record.